UGGAUUAACGAGAUUCCCAC
This 20-nucleotide non-coding RNA is filed under the name Arabidopsis thaliana (thale cress). RNAcentral also lists the same sequence under 1 other name. The record is from RNAcentral. Lineage: Eukaryota; Viridiplantae; Streptophyta; Magnoliopsida; Brassicales; Brassicaceae.